This 375-nucleotide ribosomal RNA is filed under the name uncultured organism. RNAcentral describes it as "partial 16S ribosomal RNA". It matches the Rfam family "Bacterial small subunit ribosomal RNA", at positions 527 to 896 of the family's 1533-position model. The record is from RNAcentral.
GUAGGUGGCAAGCGUUGUCCGGAAUUAUUGGGCGUAAAGCGCGCGCAGGCGGUUUUUUAAGUCUGAUGUGAAAGCCCACGGCUCAACCGUGGAGGGUCAUUGGAAACUGGAGAACUUGAGUACAGAAGAGGAAAGCGGAAUUCCACGUGUAGCGGUGAAAUGCGUAGAGAUGUGGAGGAACACCAGUGGCGAAGGCGGCUUUCUGGUCUGUAACUGACGCUGAGGCGCGAAAGCGUGGGGAGCAAACGGGGGAUUAGAUACCCUGGUAGUCCACGCCGUAAACGAUGAGUGCUAAGUGUUAGGGGGGUUUCCCGCCCCUUAGUGCUGCAGCUAACGCAUUAAGCACUCCGCCUGGGGAGUACGGCCGCAAGGCUG